Molecule: long non-coding RNA, 2849 nt
Organism: Gallus gallus (chicken)
Lineage: Eukaryota; Metazoa; Chordata; Aves; Galliformes; Phasianidae
Source: Ensembl
CGGCAACCCAGCAGCAGCGCAGCGCCGGGAGCAGCCUGGAAAGGCGCAGCGAGGAGCGGCCGCUCCACGUUCAGAUGGUGCAGCAAAGCCGGGCUCGGCCGGGGCAGCGCCACAAAGGCGGCUCAGAGCAGCUCCCGCUUCACGGAGCCCAUUCACAGUGUGCCCAGUUUGUGUUUAUUCAUGGGGACCGCAGCACUGAGCUGUGGGAGACGACUCACUUAGCGCUGAGCUCUCAGUAAUUGGCUAUCAGCUCAGCGGUCCUCUUUGUGUCAGAGCAAAGCAUGGGAGUCGCACCACGCGUGACGCCUGCAUGGCAGCACACACCGAGCCGCGGAGACGUCACACAAGCAGAUGUGCCACAGCCCUUUGGAGCAGUGAGCGAACGAACCAGUUGCACAUCUGCACUGAGCAAGCCAAAGCAUGAAUCCUGAAGGCACGAGUGGAAACAAAGAGGUCAGUGCCUUCAGAGCCCCCAGCUCUGUGCACACGGUGCCGGCCCAUUGCCCACCAGCAGCGUGGGGCUGCAGUGGGUGCUGUGGGGCUUCAUGCUGCAGCUGCCCCAGAGAAGGCCAGCAGAGACCCUGCUGGUGUGCAUCACCAUUGGAAACAAGAGGGGGAAUGGGUGUUGCUUAGCAAUGCACUACGGCACGCUCCAGUCCUGGGGAAUGGGCAAAGAGCUGUCAGAAACCCCAGCAUUAUUAUUACUGUUAUUGCAAGAGCACCCAGAUGCACACGGCGCUUUGCAGACAAAAGUAAUCGGUGGUCCUUCAGCCUGUGGAGCUGCAGUGGCACAGGAUGCUGCCCCAGGCAGCAGUGGACACGGGCUGUGGAGCAGAACAGCACAGCAUGGCCCCUUUUGGCCCUCUCCCUGCACCCACUGAUGGUGUGGGAAGGUUUCUUUCUGAGCACGUUAAAGUGAGAAGUGAGCGCUGCCAAACUUCACUUUGCAUCUCUCUGUCCCGGGCUGCUGAAGCUGCAGUGCAGCCGCUGGUGCACGGUGUUGAUCUGAGCUGGUGUGCACCUGAUUGCUUCGUUACCGGGUCGGCUGUCACAUCCAUAGGAGCAGUGUCACGUUCUGAAGGACCCAUUAACACCUGUUGUGUGUGGGGAGGUAUCCUGCAGGCUCUGCAAACCGUGCCGGCUGCUUGCUGUGCGAGAUGGACGUUUCCUUCUGGUGUGGCUGCUCUGAUGUACACACAGACACCUCGCUUCCAAAGGCAGACACACAGCUGCUGUUGCACUGGAGCAGCCCUGGUAGUGGGUCAUUGUACUGCUCUGAGCAUCUCCGGCACUGGGACCCAAAUAUAACACGAGCACUUGAUCCGGCACACAUUUCGGAUAACAGAAAACUUCCUACAGCUUUUAAUGAGUUCUGGACCGGGUCCCAGGUCGUCGUCGUGCUGUUUUGUGAAAUUACUGAGAUUUAUGUCCAGCUAUUUAAUAUCAGCCUGAAAAAAGACCCCAAAGCCCUGCCCCCGCUCAGCAACGUGUCGUGCUCCCCAGCCAAAGACUUUAAUCUUUCAUCUUGUUUGGUUUUUUCCCUCUGCGCUGAUGGUUUUUUUCCUAACUCGGCCACCUCAGCACAACGUUUUGCAGGCACCUGGCAGAGCGCAAUGCAGCAGCUGCAGGCAGGCCGUGGCUUCCAGGAGGUCAGACGGUGAGCGGUGCAGGGCAGCCCUCCCUAUUGGGGUCCGGCAGUGCCCAUCUCCAGCUGGAGCCGCCGCGGAGGGGCCGUGCUGUGCCGGGGAGCUCCGAGCCGAUCGUUUUAAUACCAGAGCGACACCAAAGGGGGUCAAGUAAAUAAAUAUGCAUGCCUCACUAGUUCAAAAUAAUAAAAUUCCAAUGUGUGCAAGCCUGCUUGUUGAACAUAUGUUUGCGGCACGGCUAAGCCAUCUGGCUCAAUGUCAAGCAUUUACACCAACUGCAGUCUUACACUACCUGACAGCAGAAAAGCUUUAUUCCCCUGGUGUUUGGGCACAAAUGGAGAAAUAUUAUUGAAAUGAUUAUCUGCAUCAAGACUCAGAUUUGGUUUGACAUUUAGCUGGCUCUGUUUAAUCCAAAGGGUUGUCUGAAUGAAUAAAGAGAAGGGUUCCUCCAGAAGAUGCUGCGAGCGGCCGGGAGAGCCAAAUGAUUAAUGAGAGCCGGAGCCGGGCGCACCCUGCCCACCUCCACCCGCAUCGGGAAUGAGGACGCACUGCAGCCUGGUGGGAUGCGCACAGCCACAGUUCUGGGCAGAAGGGACUGGGAAGGAUUGCUCCACAUCCCGGCUAAAUCCAUCUACGGGAAGUCCCAGGGCGCAUCCCUGCAUCAGAGCCGGUGCUGCAGGAGAGGAGAGCGUCCCGUGCUGUCCUGGUGCCGUGCAGAGGGCGCGUUGCAGGUCUGGAGAGGGUCCAUCCCGGCUCCUUUGUAGAAAGGUGUGCCGUGACACAGGAACAAAGGAAGAACAAGAGCGCGAAGUUUGGAGCAAGUUAAUAAAAAGCGAGUGGGAGCAGGAUUUGUUUGAACUCACAGGGCUCGCACUGACAGAGACAAAUCUAUCUGAGGAAUCAGGCGUGCUACAUCUGAAAAUAAAAUGGGAUGGAGCUGCAGAGCACGGGGUGAUGAGCAGCGUUACGGCCCAGAGAGCCGCUCUGCCUGGGAGUGCUGAGCAAAGAGCCCCUCCCUCCCCCCGGGAACGCACUGUACCAUUUUAUUCCCCUUUUUCUUUACAUUUCCACUUCCGAUCGCUGAUUUGGAUUUAAAAUUAAUUUGGUGAUUUGAGUUUAAUAAGAAUGUUAGACAUGAUUUCCUUCUCACUCUUACUUUUAAUUAACUUUUUAAUUGAGAUUUAAAUGAAUUCUAAUGAACAG